AGCUAACGAGGUUUAAUGUGCCCGUGGUGCCCCGCCGGCCCGCCGGGCUGUCGCUGUGAGCGACACCGCCCGGGUGUGGGCGGUGCCCCGGGAGGAGCGGGGGACACCCGUGUCGCACCAUCAAAAAGUCCUGCUGAUAGUACUCCAAGAAGGCCUGUUUUAUCUGUCAGUGCAAGAAAAAUUAAAGAUAAUGCAGCAGACUGGCAUAAUUUAAUGAUGAAAUGGGAGAGACUGAAUGAUAAUGGAUUUACUACGGCAAACAAAAUAGUCAACAUGAAGAUCAGUGAGCAAUUUCAAGACAGAAAACUGGAGAUAGCAUGUGAUAACAGUGUCACAGAACCUGAAAAGCCAACCCCAAGAUACAAUGAAGAACUGGACAAUUGCUGUGCAGAAUUACUGGAGAUCUUAAAGCAGAUGACAAAAAUACAACUGAAAAUGGAAAAGCUUACUUUGACUACUAAAGCAAUCUGUGACUUGGAAGCAUUCCACCGUGGAGCUGGGAAUUGCACAGCACCCUUCUUUCAUACAUGGCCCACACCAUAUUUCUAUGAGGUCUCUUUGAAGCUCUCCGAAAUGUACAAGAAGGAACUACAACUCAAGCAGGCAAUUGUACAAGACAUUGCUCAUUCUGCUGACCAGGACCUGCUGAUGGUGUAUUUAUCAUCGUGGUUAUACCAGCCUUACAUUGAGAACAGCAGCACACUGCUACUUGAAGCCAUGCUGCUGGAGACAGGACACAGAAAGUGCUAGAAUUCCACGUGGCUGGCUUCUAAUGAUGCUUACAUGAAACUGAAAUGGCAAAUUGCAAGGCUUACCACGCAUAGUGUACUUGAACUGGCUGCAACCACGGUAGUGUUUGGAGACCUUGAAGCCGACACUGCGGCACGAGUAGCUUUCUGUCC
RNA transcript from Corapipo altera (White-ruffed manakin), 902 nucleotides. It is a transcript of the gene named cyclin dependent kinase 2 interacting protein, with no coding region annotated. NCBI's taxonomy places the organism in Eukaryota, Metazoa, Chordata, Aves, Passeriformes, Pipridae. The record is from RefSeq and is a predicted model, not a curated record. The transcript is spliced from 6 exons.